RNAcentral lists this ribosomal RNA (490 nucleotides) under uncultured bacterium. RNAcentral describes it as "partial 16S ribosomal RNA". It matches the Rfam family "Bacterial small subunit ribosomal RNA", at positions 30 to 507 of the family's 1533-position model. The record is from RNAcentral.
AUUGAACGCUGGCGGCAUGCUUUACACAUGCAAGUCGGACGGCAGCGGGGGAGUGCUUGCACUACUGCCGGCGAGUGGCGCACGGGUGAGUAAUAUAUUGGAACUUACCGAGUGAUGGGGGAUAACUAAUCGAAAGAUUGGCUAAUACCGCAUACGCUCUGAGGAGGAAAGCACGGGACUUUCGGGCCUUGCGUUAUUCGCGCGGCGAAUAUCGGAUUAGCUAGUUGGUGGGGUAAGGGCCUACCAAGGCGACGAUCAGUAGCGGGUCUGAGAGGAUGAUCCGCCACACUGGGACUGAGACACGGCCCAGACUCCUACGGGAGGCAGCAGUAGGGAAUUUUGGACAAUGGGCGCAAGCCUGAUCCAGCCAUGCCGCGUGUCUGAAGAAGGCCUUCGGGUUGUAAAAGACUGUUGUUAGGGAAGAAAAAGGAGCUGUUAAUACCCGUUUCUGCUGACGGUACCUAAAGAAUAAGCACCGGCUAACUACGUG